Molecule: ribosomal RNA, 294 nt
Filed under: Triticum aestivum (bread wheat)
Lineage: Eukaryota; Viridiplantae; Streptophyta; Magnoliopsida; Poales; Poaceae
Description: partial small subunit ribosomal RNA
Source: RNAcentral
AUGGUCUCGGAACAGCUUCGUGAAUAUGAGUUGAAGCAAAGCAAGAAGAAGUUGAGGUUUGAAAGUGACUCAAAAGAGUUUGCGGAGAAGGAGAAGCAGAGGAGAGCUGCAGAUGGUCCCAAGGGUGCCAAAUUUGCCAAGGUGAAGAAGCCUUCUUUGCAGAAGAAGAAGCUGAGUACUGUUGCUGAGGAAGGUGGUACACCUCGGCGGAGUCCACGUGUUGCUGGCAUGAACAAGAAUCUUGGCAAGAGAACUGCUGAAGCUGGUGGAAAGGAUGACCCUCAGUGCAAGUGA